This 253-nucleotide ribosomal RNA is filed under the name uncultured bacterium. RNAcentral's name for it is "partial 16S ribosomal RNA". It matches the Rfam family "Bacterial small subunit ribosomal RNA", at positions 524 to 776 of the family's 1533-position model. The record is from RNAcentral.
UACAGAGGGUGCGAGCGUUAAUCGGAAUUACUGGGCGUAAAGCGUGCGUAGACGGUUAUGUAAGUCAGGUGUGAAAGCCCUGGGCUCAACCUGGGAACUGCGAUGGAUACUGAGGAGCUGGAGUACGGUAGAGGAAGGUGGAAUUCCCGGUGUGGCGGUGAAAUGCGUAGAGAUCGGGAGGAACAUCAGUGGCGAAGGCGGCCUUCUGGACCAGUACUGACGCUGAGGCACGAAAGCGUGGGGAGCAAACAGG